Molecule: long non-coding RNA, 1288 nt
Organism: Rosa chinensis
Lineage: Eukaryota; Viridiplantae; Streptophyta; Magnoliopsida; Rosales; Rosaceae
Exons: 3
Source: RefSeq, a predicted model, not a curated record
CCAAGCAAAUUGAAUUGGGAGAACAUCCUAGGACUGGCUGUUUGUUCUGUUUUUUGUCCUUUAGGUGAGAACUCUUCUUUUACAGCUGAUAUUUUCAUCGCUGCAGAACUCAUAUAUCGGUGUUGCCAUAAGAGAACUUACAAUAGAAAGAGUUUAACGUCAGACCAUAUGGGGCUGACUUAUAUUCCAUUAUCCGCUGAUAUAAAGCGAAAUGUGGAUCCAAAGGGUUGGUGGCCUAAUUCGACGUCACUCUUUCGAUUUUGCUCCUCGGAAGUCGUUUGAAUAAAAAGCUGUGGGGUUCACCUCGUAUGCCAACCACCGAUGGAAUAUUCAAAUAAGAUUGCAAUGGCGCCUGAACCUGCCGAUGAGAGACUGGCUUUGGUGGCUUUGGUCUGCGAAUGCAGAACAAAAGAUGCCUCGCACUAGAGCCAACGACGAUUAUCACCAUCAACAAGAGCAGCAGAAGCAACCAUUUCCUUGAAAACGACACUGCACUGAGGCUCCCAUCCCCAUCAUCGAUGACGACGACCUUUCUAUUCCCUCCUCCGACCUUUCUAUCCACCUCAGAUAUGUGGUGGAGUCCCCUGGAUCAAAUCUUCCAGACGUCUGAUUGCCAAGCAAAUGAUUAUCCUCUUCCCAAUUCGCAGUGGACUCCCGGGAAUCUUGAUCCUACCUCACCAGCCACUCCAGAAUUCAAACAAUAAUGCCAUGCAUUUAGAUAUGUUUCAGAGAUCAAGUGGGGUGAUUUACAAGAGUUUUUCGGAGUAUUAGCAAGUGACAUGAGGCCCUUUAAAGGCUGCUGCAAGAUCAGGCUCUCUCCAACAAGUUUUUCUAUUCACUAGAACUAGUCAAUGUAUGGAAUCAACAAAGUCACGGUGCUGCAAAGAUUGGCCACAUGAUGAUGAAGAAUAAUGGUAUUCAAUUACAUCUAUUUUUCCUCAUUGUUGAUUACCAGUGAUCCCACUGUUGUAGGAGAAUAUUGGUGGCAGUCAGCUAGGCUCUGCAAAUCAAGUUAGUCAUACAAAUUGGUUGAUGUGAUCCAGUAUUAAUUUUUGGUUUCACUUUGUUACUUAAUACUAUGUUUCUGGGUGAUUGAUGUAAUAAGUUUUGAUUGUUGUUUCUGUUUGUAGUGGGAACUCUAAACUUUUCACUUGGAAUGGUUACAGAUUCCGGUCAAGUCAAGUACAUGCUGAUCUAACUGAAUUUGAGACGACUACAAAUAAGAUAAAGGCAAAUGUAUGUGCUAUUUCCCUUGGUUAUACUUGUGCCUAUGCACUUUUCCAUUACA